GAACAGACAAGACAUGGAACUUCUUUAUGAUCAAAGUAUAGAAGUUUAAUCACAGUUUGUGGGAGCACACCCACAGAAUAUAGUGUAUGUUCCGAAUGCUACUGUUGGAGUAAAUACUAUCGUGAAGAACCUGAUCCUUGAGCCUGAAGAUAUUCUGCUACUUAACUCUCAUACCUACUCUGCUUGUACUAAGGCUAUUGAAUGUGCAGUAAGAAAGUCAGGGGCGGAUACUCUCUCUCUUGAUAUCAUUUUUCCAAUCAGGUCUGAGGAUCAACUUGUUGAUCAUAUUGUUGAGAUCUGUAAACGGAAUGUGGGAAUUCGUCUGGCGAUCAUCGAUCAUAUCA
Molecule: long non-coding RNA, 344 nt
Organism: Eurytemora carolleeae
Lineage: Eukaryota; Metazoa; Arthropoda; Copepoda; Calanoida; Temoridae
Exons: 4
Source: RefSeq, a predicted model, not a curated record